RNAcentral lists this ribosomal RNA (586 nucleotides) under Streptomyces regensis. RNAcentral's name for it is "bacterial LSU rRNA". It matches the Rfam family "Bacterial large subunit ribosomal RNA", at positions 2344 to 2925 of the family's 2925-position model. The record is from RNAcentral. Lineage: Bacteria; Bacillati; Actinomycetota; Actinomycetes; Kitasatosporales; Streptomycetaceae.
GUUGAGUGUAAGUGCACAAGGGAGCUUGACUGUGAGACUGACGGGUCGAGCAGGGACGAAAGUCGGGACUAGUGAUCCGGCACCUCCUGGUGGAAGGGGUGUCGCUCAACGGAUAAAAGGUACCCCGGGGAUAACAGGCUGAUCUUGCCCAAGAGUCCAUAUCGACGGCAUGGUUUGGCACCUCGAUGUCGGCUCGUCGCAUCCUGGGGCUGGAGUCGGUCCCAAGGGUUGGGCUGUUCGCCCAUUAAAGCGGCACGCGAGCUGGGUUUAGAACGUCGUGAGACAGUUCGGUCCCUAUCCGCCGCGCGCGUAGGAGACUUGCGGAAGGCUGUCCCUAGUACGAGAGGACCGGGACGGACGAACCUCUGGUAUGCCAGUUGUCCCGCCAGGGGCAUGGCUGGUUGGCUACGUUCGGAAGGGAUAACCGCUGAAGGCAUCUAAGCGGGAAGCCUGUUCCUAGAUGAGGUCUCCCACCCGUUGUGGGUUAAGGCCCCCAAGAGAUGAUUGGGUUGAUAGGCCAGACAUGGAAGCGCAGUAAUGUGUGUUGGAGUGGACUGGUACUAAUCGGCCGAGGACUUGCCUACAA